RNAcentral lists this long non-coding RNA (370 nucleotides) under Mytilus galloprovincialis (Mediterranean mussel). Lineage: Eukaryota; Metazoa; Mollusca; Bivalvia; Mytilida; Mytilidae. The record is from RNAcentral.
AAAAUAAUCAAACUGCCUGCAUAAGAAUUUUAUCUGUUUAUUUUUUCAGGUCAAUGAUAAUGGAAAUGCUGUUGUGGCUACAAGAUUUGGACAACUUCUAGGAAACAUUUGGAACAAAUGAGAUGGGAAUAUGUAAACAAAAUUUAAUUCUAGAAGAGGAAAUUAAUUGUGAAACAACUUUAAGUGUACGUGAGGCAGCAACCCAUCAGUCAUUAUCCGGAGGUCAAGUAUUUUUUAAAUGUUCUUGUAAUUCGAAAUGUUUAAGUAACCGGUGCAAAUGCAAGAAAAACGGGAGAAAGUGCAAUAGUCGGUGCCACAGUUCGACAACUUGUAAUAACAAAUGAUUUUAACACAAAUUUGUAUGAAGUUU